Cannabis sativa is the source of this 3920-nucleotide long non-coding RNA. RefSeq lists it as uncharacterized. The record is from RefSeq and is a predicted model, not a curated record. NCBI's taxonomy places the organism in Eukaryota, Viridiplantae, Streptophyta, Magnoliopsida, Rosales, Cannabaceae. The transcript is spliced from 2 exons.
AAAUUUUUAAAAACACUUUUUUUUUUCUCUCUGUGGCUAGUCUUCCUCCUCUCCUUAUUGUGCGAUGAUCAUCCAUAUGGCUUAGCAGGUCGCACAGCGACUACCAAAAUACAAAUCCCCAGAUGUCCCGAGGCCAAGACAACUCCAGGUCGCGCUGCUUUGACAUGUACAAUCUCACCCGAGCUCAGGUUCACUCCUGUUCAGCCUUCGCCUUUCUUUUACCUACACAUGAAAGUAGAAACUGUGAGUCGACAGACUCAGUAAGAAAUGCAUAUAACAUAUCACAUAAAUUCCGACCUGUAAAUAGGCGCCCAUACACCUAUCUAUAGGGCUUAACAGAUGAGCAAGAACGUUCUAACUGCUUGUGCUACUGACCAUGAUAUCACUCCUACCAGCACUUAAAUCGUGCUGUAGGACCGGCACUAUGUUCGUGCCGCUAUGAUAGCAUCAAUAGCAUCCAAAAGUAUGAUUGGCCGUGAUAUCACUCUUAACCGAUACGAUGCACAUCUUCUUUGAACCGACACAAUGGUUGUGUCGCUAUGAUAGUACCAAAACAUACUUUUCAGGGUGGAUAACACUCUUAACCAGUACGAUGCCUGUACUGCUGAACCGACACAAUGGUUGUGUCGCUAUGAUAUCACCCAAACAUAUACAAGGAUACACACAGCAUGCAUAUAUAUAUCAUACAUAUACAUACACCCAGAUAUUUAUAUCACACGUUAUAUUCGAUUCUUUGUUUUCCGAAUUCAAGUGUCUUUGGCCAGACCUGAACGGAAUUCACGUGCUAGAUGGAUGCCACUAAUCACAAUAAUAGCAACACGGAUGAGUUGACUCGCUAAAUCACUUUCCGGGACUUUAAACUUGAAACUAAAAGUUUCCCUAUCGAUAAACUUCAUGGCAAUACCCUAAAUAUCUCAAAUUUGGCCAAAACUAGGGUUCUGGAAAUUCCCCCAACAGGCAGACCGGUUCCCAACCGGUAUCCAGGUUCUGGGUCACCAACCGGUCGGCCAGGUUGGUGCGGCCUCCCAGACCCGGAAUUCCGGUUCUACUGCUGGGAACCAAAAAUUAUCCCCCUUAAUUCAAUUCAACUCCAAACUUUACCAAACUCUCCAGUAUACCUAUACAAUGCAUACACAAUGAUUUCCAGGCAGUAAUUCACAGAAUAAACCAUUACAACUCAAGUUGCCAUUAAUGAACAAAGCUUGAGUUUCAAAACUCAAGCUUGCUUAAAACCAUUCACAAGCAUCAAAACUAGUAGCUAGGGACUUAGAUUAACUCAAUUUAACUCCAGAAAUUGAACCCCAAACAUUUCAAAACCCAACAGCCACUAAACCUAAAAGUUCAUAGUGAAACUAAACUAAAACUUCAAAAACUUAAAGGGGAGAAGAACUAGGGUUACCUUGCCUUGAUUCCUAUUGAAUCCUUUGCUGAAAACACAAAAUCUCAGCUCCCAAAACCCCUUGCCCUUGCUGCCUUCGAAGAGAGAAAGAGAGAAGAGAGAACUUCUCUUGAUUUUGAUUUUCUUUGUUUUUCCUUUAUUUUUCAAAUGAAAAUGAGCUAAUCACUUAACUCCUUCUAACUUAAAUGCUAGGUGUCAACUACUUGGGCAGGCACCUCACUCACCCUUAACCAAAAGACUAAAAUGCCCUUAGACUUACAACUAGGGUAUUUCUAAAGCUAGGGGUAAAAUGGUCAAUUUCCAUAACCCCGCUCAAUCCCGAUAAUUUAUUUUCUCUAAAUUAUUUCCCACUAUGAAAUAGGGUUCUAAACUUACCCAUGUGAUCAAUCUAACCAUCCAUCGCAUUUUCCGUUGUCGCCGAGCAAAAAUUACAAAAAUAGCAUAUUACACAUAUAAGCUAAAUAAUACCCCUAGAGUUUAAUAAAAUCUCCGGAAUUGAGAAAUUAUAACUCUAAUAUUUAUUUCUUAAAUAUUGGGGUCCACAAUUAAAUUAAUUCACAAAUAAUAAUAAAAUAAUAAAAAUUAGUGCUAAUUGCCUUUACUAAUCCACAUUACUAGAGCGAUCAUUACAAUUAUCCCCCCGUUAAUAGGAUUUCGUCCCCGAAAUCUAACCUUAAAAACUCUGGAUGUUGAGUCCUCAUAUCUGACUCUAAUUCCCAGGUGGCUUCUUCCACCUUACUGUUUCUCCAGAGCACUUUAACUAGUGCAAUAGUCUUGUUUCGAAGAACUUUUUCUUUCCUAUCCAAAAUCUGAACAGGUUGCUCUUCAUAGGAUAAGUCUGGUUGUAGUUCAAGGGCUUCAUAACUCAAGACAUGAGUCGGGUCUGACACGUAUUUCCUUAACAUAGAGGUGUGAAAUACGCCAUGGACAGCUGAUAAUGCUGGUGGUAAGGCUAGUCGAUACGCUACCUGCCCGACCUUCUCGAGUAUCUGAAAUGGCCCAAUGAACCUAGGGCUUAACUUACCCUUCUUCCCGAAGCGCCUAAUACCCUUCAUUGGUGAAACCUGCAGGAAAACAUGUUCCCCUGCCUGAAAUGUAACAUCUCUGCGCUUCGGAUCAGCAUAACUUUUCUGCCUGCUUUGAGAAGCAAGCAUCCGAGCCUUGAUCUUAUCAAUGGCUUCAUUGGUCUUUUGCACCAACUCUGGACCCAGGUACUUCCUUUCUCCUGUCUCGUCCCAAUUAAUAGGAGAACGACAUUUUCUACCAUAUAACAUCUCAUAGGGAGCCAUCCCUAUUGUACUUUGGUAGUUGUUGUUGUAGGAGAAUUCAAUUAAAGGCAAGUACUUACUCCAUGAACCCUCAAAGUCCAUGACACAGGCUCGCAGUAGGUCUUCUAAAAUCUGGAUAGUUCUUUAUGACUGACCAUCAGUCUGAGGGUGAAAGGCUGUACUAAACUUUAGCUUGGUACCCAUAGCCUUCUGAAGACUCACCCAAAAUUUCGAUGUAAACUUUGGAUCCCUAUCUGACACAAUAGAUUUAGGGGCUCCGUGGAGACAAACUAUCUCCUUCACAUACAAUUCAGCAUACUGAUCCACUGAAUAUGUAACUUUCACUGGUAGGAAGUGAGCUGACUUUGUGAAUCUGUCCACGACAACCCAAACAGAAUCAUACAUUCCCGUAGUUCUAGGCAAACCAGUUACAAAGUCCAUUGCGAUGUCCUCCCACUUCCAUUCUGGAAGGACUAAAGGUUGCAAUAACCCUGCUUAGGCCUGCGAUGUUCAGCCUUAAUCUGCUGGCAGGUUAAACACUUGGACACGUAGUCCACCACAUCUCUUUUCAUCCCAUACCACCAGAAGUAGGGUUUCAAAUCCUGAUACAUCUUGCUGGUUCCCGGAUGCAACGAAUAAGGCGUGGUGUGAGCUUCAUCAAGUAUUUCUUUCUUAAGCUCAUCAACACUAGGAACACAAACUCGAGCCUUAUAUAAUAACAUUCCACUGCUCGAGACUGAAAAGCCUCUAGGCCGACCAGCCACUACUUCAUCUCGAACUUUAACUAGCUCGGGAUCUUCCCGUUGUGCCUUUCUGAUUCUCUCCAACAGAUCAGAUUGGAGUGUUAAAUUAUGCAAUUUCCCGACCACGAACUCAAUUCCUGCACUAACCAUUUCCGAGGCUAGUUGAGGGGCUAUCAUAGUCGUAGUAUAAACUUGCCCGGGACCCUUUCUGCUUAAAGCAUCGGCCACAACAUUGGCUUUCCCGGGGUGAUACAGUAUUUCACAAUCGUAGUCUUUAACUAACUCCAACCACCUUCUCUGCCUCAUAUUCAGAUCUUUCUGGGUGAAAAAGUAUUUAAGACUCUUAUGAUCAGUAUAAUUCUCACACUUUUCACCGUAAAGAUAAUGUCGCCAUAUCUUCAAAGCAAAAACCACAUCAGCGAGCUCCAAAUCAUGAGUUGGGUAACGCUGCUCAUAAUCCUUCAAUUGACGAGAGGCAUAGGCUAUGGCUCUGUCAGCUUGCAUCAGAAC